Molecule: ribosomal RNA, 474 nt
Filed under: Escherichia coli
Lineage: Bacteria; Pseudomonadati; Pseudomonadota; Gammaproteobacteria; Enterobacterales; Enterobacteriaceae
Description: partial 23S ribosomal RNA
Rfam family: Bacterial large subunit ribosomal RNA
Source: RNAcentral
GACCCGUGAUCCGGGUUGCGGACAGUGUCUGGUGGGUAGUUUGACUGGGGCGGUCUCCUCCUAAAGAGUAACGGAGGAGCACGAAGGUUGGCUAAUCCUGGUCGGACAUCAGGAGGUUAGUGCAAUGGCAUAAGCCAGCUUGACUGCGAGCGUGACGGCGCGAGCAGGUGCGAAAGCAGGUCAUAGUGAUCCGGUGGUUCUGAAUGGAAGGGCCAUCGCUCAACGGAUAAAAGGUACUCCGGGGAUAACAGGCUGAUACCGCCCAAGAGUUCAUAUCGACGGCGGUGUUUGGCACCUCGAUGUCGGCUCAUCACAUCCUGGGGCUGAAGUAGGUCCCAAGGGUAUGGCUGUUCGCCAUUUAAAGUGGUACGCGAGCUGGGUUUAGAACGUCGUGAGACAGUUCGGUCCCUAUCUGCCGUGGGCGCUGGAGAACUGAGGGGGGCUGCUCCUAGUACGAGAGGACCGGAGUGGACG